Molecule: ribosomal RNA, 411 nt
Filed under: Verrucomicrobiota bacterium
Lineage: Bacteria; Pseudomonadati; Verrucomicrobiota
Description: Verrucomicrobia bacterium partial 16S ribosomal RNA
Rfam family: Bacterial small subunit ribosomal RNA
Source: RNAcentral
UGGGGAAUAUUGCACAAUGGACGGAAGUCUGAUGCAGCGACGCCGCGUGGGGGAUGAAGGCUUUCGGGUUGUAAACUCCUUUCAGUACAGAAGAAGCUUUAUUGUGAGGGUAUGUGCAGAAGAAGGGCCGGCAACCAACGUGCCAGCAGCCGCGGUAAUACGUAGGGCGCGAGCGUUGUCCGGAAUUAUUGGGCGUAAAGAGCUCGUAGGCGGUUUGUCGCGUCUGCUGUGAAAGACCGGGGCUUAACUCCGGGGCUGCAGUGGGUACGGGCAGGCUGGAGUGCGGUAGGGGUAACCGGAAUUCCUGGUGUAGCGGUGGAAUGCGCAGAUAUCAGGAGGAACACCGAUGGCGAAGGCAGGUUACUGGGCCGUUACUGACGCUGAGGAGCGAAAGCAUGGGGAGCGAACAGG